AUUGAACGCUGGCGGCAGGCCUAACACAUGCAAGUCGAGCGGAUGACGGGAGCUUGCUCCUUGAUUCAGCGGCGGACGGGUGAGUAAUGCCUAGGAAUCUGCCUGGUAGUGGGGGACAACGUUUCGAAAGGAACGCUAAUACCGCAUACGUCCUACGGGAGAAAGCAGGGGACCUUCGGGCCUUGCGCUAUCAGAUGAGCCUAGGUCGGAUUAGCUUGUUGGUGAGGUAAUGGCUCACCAAGGCGACGAUCCGUAACUGGUCUGAGAGGAUGAUCAGUCACACUGGAACUGAGACACGGUCCAGACUCCUACGGGAGGCAGCAGUGGGGAAUAUUGGACAAUGGGCGAAAGCCUGAUCCAGCCAUGCCGCGUGUGUGAAGAAGGUCUUCGGAUUGUAAAGCACUUUAAGUUGGGAGGAAGGGUUGUAGAUUAAUACUCCGCAAUUUUGACGUUACCGACAGAAUAAGCACCGGCUAACUCUGUG
RNAcentral lists this ribosomal RNA (484 nucleotides) under uncultured bacterium. Its description in RNAcentral is "partial 16S ribosomal RNA". It matches the Rfam family "Bacterial small subunit ribosomal RNA", at positions 30 to 507 of the family's 1533-position model. The record is from RNAcentral.